GACGGGGCCGCACAAGCGGUGGAGCAUGUGGUUUAAUUCGACGCAACGCGAAGAACCUUACCAGGGCUUGACAUCCCCUGACCGCGUAUGAAAGUACGUUUUCACCCUCGGGUGACAGGGAGACAGGUGGUGCAUGGUUGUCGUCAGCUCGUGUCGUGAGAUGUUGGGUUAAGUCCCGCAACGAGCGCAACCCCUACGUUUAGUUGCUAACGCGUGAAGGCGAGCACUCUAGACGAACUGCCGUUGACAAAACGGAGGAAGGUGGGAUGACGUCAAAUCAUCAUGCCCCUUAUGUUCUGGGCUACACACGUGCUACAAUGGCCGGUACAGACGGACGCAAAGCCGCGAGGUGGAGCAAAUCCUAAAAAGCCGGUCUCAGUUCGGAUUGCAGGCUGCAAUUCGCCUGCAUGAAGUCGGAAUCGCUAGUAAUCGCAGGUCAGCAUACUGCGGUGAAUACGUUCCCGGGCCUU
This 470-nucleotide ribosomal RNA is filed under the name uncultured Pelotomaculum sp. RNAcentral's name for it is "bacterial SSU rRNA". It matches the Rfam family "Bacterial small subunit ribosomal RNA", at positions 917 to 1381 of the family's 1533-position model. The record is from RNAcentral. Lineage: Bacteria; Bacillati; Bacillota; Clostridia; Eubacteriales; Desulfotomaculaceae.